This 318-nucleotide ribosomal RNA is filed under the name Triticum aestivum (bread wheat). RNAcentral describes it as "partial small subunit ribosomal RNA". Lineage: Eukaryota; Viridiplantae; Streptophyta; Magnoliopsida; Poales; Poaceae. The record is from RNAcentral.
AUGUGGCCGGGCUGGCAGCAUCGGAGGACGGCGCCGGGGCGGGUUGUCGUGGAGGAGCCGCAGCAGCUGGUCUACUUCUCGUACCCCACCGAUGCGGAGGGCGGCCGAGGUACGGCCGGGGCGUCGGUGUUGAUGUGCGCGAUCUGCCUGGAGGAGCUGGUGGGCGGGACGGAGUGCAGCGAGGUGCCGGCGUGCCGGUACGUGUUCCAUCGGGGCUGUCUCGCGCUGUGGAUCAAGAGCAAGAGCACCUGCCCGCUCUGCAGGGAGCUUGUCGUGCCGGGGCCAGAGCCCCCGUCAGCUGCCGAUAACAUGGUUUAG